GCGGGGUGGAGCAGUCUGGUAGCUCGUCGGGCUCAUAACCCGAAGGUCGCAGGUUC
RNAcentral lists this transfer RNA (56 nucleotides) under Acidimicrobiaceae bacterium. Its description in RNAcentral is "tRNA-Met". It matches the Rfam family "tRNA", at positions 2 to 54 of the family's 71-position model. From Rfam's summary of the family: Transfer RNA (tRNA) molecules are approximately 80 nucleotides in length. Their secondary structure includes four short double-helical elements and three loops (D, anti-codon, and T loops). Further hydrogen bonds mediate the characteristic L-shaped molecular structure. tRNAs have two regions of fundamental functional importance: the anti-codon, which is responsible for specific mRNA codon recognition, and the 3' end, to which the tRNAs corresponding amino acid is attached (by aminoacyl-tRNA synthetases). tRNAs cope with the degeneracy of the genetic code in two manners: having more than one tRNA (with a specific anti-codon) for a particular amino acid; and 'wobble' base-pairing, i.e. permitting non-standard base-pairing at the 3rd anti-codon position. The record is from RNAcentral. Lineage: Bacteria; Bacillati; Actinomycetota; Acidimicrobiia; Acidimicrobiales; Acidimicrobiaceae.